GGUUAAGCGACUAAGCGUACACGGUGGAUGCCCUGGCAGUCAGAGGCGAUGAAGGACGUGCUAAUCUGCGAUAAGCGUCGGUAAGGUGAUAUGAACCGUUAUAACCGGCGAUUUCCGAAUGGGGAAACCCAGUGUGAUUCGUCACACUAUCAUUAACUGAAUCCAUAGGUUAAUGAGGCGAACCGGGGGAACUGAAACAUCUAAGUACCCCGAGGAAAAGAAAUCAACCGAGAUUCCCCCAGUAGCGGCGAGCGAACGGGGAGCAGCCCAGAGCCUGAAUCAGUGUGUGUGUUAGUGGAAGCGUCUGGAAAGGCGCGCGAUACAGGGUGACAGCCCCGUACACAAAAAUGCACAUGCUGUGAGCUCGAUGAGUAGGGCGGGACACGUGGUAUCCUGUCUGAAUAUGGGGGGACCAUCCUCCAAGGCUAAAUACUCCUGACUGACCGAUAGUGAACCAGUACCGUGAGGGAAAGGCGAAAAGAACCCCGGCGAGGGGAGUGAAAAAGAACCUGAAACCGUGUACGUACAAGCAGUGGGAGCACGCUUAGGCGUGUGACUGCGUACCUUUUGUAUAAUGGGUCAGCGACUUAUAUUCUGUAGCAAGGUUAACCGAAUAGGGGAGCCGAAGGGAAACCGAGUCUUAACUGGGCGUUAAGUUGCAGGGUAUAGACCCGAAACCCGGUGAUCUAGCCAUGGGCAGGUUGAAGGUUGGGUAACACUAACUGGAGGACCGAACCGACUAAUGUUGAAAAAUUAGCGGAUGACUUGUGGCUGGGGGUGAAAGGCCAAUCAAACCGGGAGAUAGCUGGUUCUCCCCGAAAGCUAUUUAGGUAGCGCCUCGUGAAUUCAUCUCCGGGGGUAGAGCACUGUUUCGGCAAGGGGGUCAUCCCGACUUACCAACCCGAUGCAAACUACGAAUACCGGAGAAUGUUAUCACGGGAGACACACGGCGGGUGCUAACGUCCGUCGUGAAGAGGGAAACAACCCAGACCGCCAGCUAAGGUCCCAAAGUCAUGGUUAAGUGGGAAACGAUGUGGGAAGGCCCAGACAGCCAGGAUGUUGGCUUAGAAGCAGCCAUCAUUUAAAGAAAGCGUAAUAGCUCACUGGUCGAGUCGGCCUGCGCGGAAGAUGUAACGGGGCUAAACCAUGCACCGAAGCUGCGGCAGCGACGCUUAUGCGUUGUUGGGUAGGGGAGCGUUCUGUAAGCCUGUGAAGGUGUACUGUGAGGUAUGCUGGAGGUAUCAGAAGUGCGAAUGCUGACAUAAGUAACGAUAAAGCGGGUGAAAAGCCCGCUCGCCGGAAGACCAAGGGUUCCUGUCCAACGUUAAUCGGGGCAGGGUGAGUCGACCCCUAAGGCGAGGCCGAAAGGCGUAGUCGAUGGGAAACAGGUUAAUAUUCCUGUACUUGGUGUUACUGCGAAGGGGGGACGGAGAAGGCUAUGUUGGCCGGGCGACGGUUGUCCCGGUUUAAGCGUGUAGGCUGGUUUUCCAGGCAAAUCCGGAAAAUCAAGGCUGAGGCGUGAUGACGAGGCACUACGGUGCUGAAGCAACAAAUGCCCUGCUUCCAGGAAAAGCCUCUAAGCAUCAGGUAACAUCAAAUCGUACCCCAAACCGACACAGGUGGUCAGGUAGAGAAUACCAAGGCGCUUGAGAGAACUCGGGUGAAGGAACUAGGCAAAAUGGUGCCGUAACUUCGGGAGAAGGCACGCUGAUAUGUAGGUGAAGUCCCUCGCGGAUGGAGCUGAAAUCAGUCGAAGAUACCAGCUGGCUGCAACUGUUUAUUAAAAACACAGCACUGUGCAAACACGAAAGUGGACGUAUACGGUGUGACGCCUGCCCGGUGCCGGAAGGUUAAUUGAUGGGGUUAGCGCAAGCGAAGCUCUUGAUCGAAGCCCCGGUAAACGGCGGCCGUAACUAUAACGGUCCUAAGGUAGCGAAAUUCCUUGUCGGGUAAGUUCCGACCUGCACGAAUGGCGUAAUGAUGGCCAGGCUGUCUCCACCCGAGACUCAGUGAAAUUGAACUCGCUGUGAAGAUGCAGUGUACCCGCGGCAAGACGGAAAGACCCCGUGAACCUUUACUAUAGCUUGACACUGAACAUUGAGCCUUGAUGUGUAGGAUAGGUGGGAGGCUUUGAAGUGUGGACGCCAGUCUGCAUGGAGCCGACCUUGAAAUACCACCCUUUAAUGUUUGAUGUUCUAACGUGGACCCGUAAUCCGGGUUGCGGACAGUGUCUGGUGGGUAGUUUGACUGGGGCGGUCUCCUCCUAAAGAGUAACGGAGGAGCACGAAGGUUGGCUAAUCCUGGUCGGACAUCAGGAGGUUAGUGCAAUGGCAUAAGCCAGCUUGACUGCGAGCGUGACGGCGCGAGCAGGUGCGAAAGCAGGUCAUAGUGAUCCGGUGGUUCUGAAUGGAAGGGCCAUCGCUCAACGGAUAAAAGGUACUCCGGGGAUAACAGGCUGAUACCGCCCAAGAGUUCAUAUCGACGGCGGUGUUUGGCACCUCGAUGUCGGCUCAUCACAUCCUGGGGCUGAAGUAGGUCCCAAGGGUAUGGCUGUUCGCCAUUUAAAGUGGUACGCGAGCUGGGUUUAGAACGUCGUGAGACAGUUCGGUCCCUAUCUGCCGUGGGCGCUGGAGAAUUGAGGGGGGCUGCUCCUAGUACGAGAGGACCGGAGUGGACGCAUCACUGGUGUUCGGGUUGUCAUGCCAAUGGCACUGCCCGGUAGCUAAAUGCGGAAGAGAUAAGUGCUGAAAGCAUCUAAGCACGAAACUUGCCCCGAGAUGAGUUCUCCCUGAC
RNAcentral lists this ribosomal RNA (2793 nucleotides) under Escherichia coli. RNAcentral's name for it is "partial 23S ribosomal RNA". It matches the Rfam family "Bacterial large subunit ribosomal RNA". The record is from RNAcentral. Lineage: Bacteria; Pseudomonadati; Pseudomonadota; Gammaproteobacteria; Enterobacterales; Enterobacteriaceae.